Talpa occidentalis (Iberian mole) is the source of this 762-nucleotide long non-coding RNA. RefSeq lists it as uncharacterized. NCBI's taxonomy places the organism in Eukaryota, Metazoa, Chordata, Mammalia, Eulipotyphla, Talpidae. The record is from RefSeq and is a predicted model, not a curated record. The transcript has 4 exons.
GUAGACGGAGACGCCCGAUGCAGGGCGCAGCUCGGCAGAGCCCCUGCAAACUUGUUUCUUUUCGAGAGCAAGGGAUUUGGGGUCACAGUAGAUACCGGGUUCAAAUGCUAAUUUCGGUCUACUUAGCCUAGUCACCCGGCCGUGCUUAAGGCCCCCGGUAUGGGGCCGCCUCGGCGGCCCGGGCACUCCGGGUGCUAGAGAGGUUCUGCCUGCUGGUAGGAGGCGGUUAGUCAGUGAAAGAGCCACAGGGGAGGCAUUAAUGAAGUCAGCUGCAUCUAGUAUAUUCUAGCUACACCAUCUCCUAAGGAAUUUGUCAGAGAGCUCAACUCAAGGCUGCCAGUUUUCACAAUUCCAGGGAGCACCACUCACAUGACAGGACUGAGGCAACACUGGUUCCGAAACUUUAACAUGACUUCAAUAAUAGUGACAAAGACAAGGAUGAAGCUGCUUACCUGCAGGAUGAAGUGUUAUCUGCAAAAUGACAUAAAAAGGAAUAGAAGAACCCUGGAUUCUUCAUGACAUUGUUAUACAACUACAUCUAUCAACCCUGCCCUACCUCUGAACUUCCUUGUUACAUGACAUAAUAAAUUUCCUUAUUGUCUGAGUCUUACGUACAGUGUGAGUAGGUUUUAUUAAUUAUUUACAGACAAAGCAUUCUAACUAAAUGUUAAUGCCACUUGGUAAUACUGAUUUUCCCCAGAUGCUAAUAGAACGCUUUCUGUAACCCAUCCUGUACUUUCCAAGUCCUUAGAGAAUUUUCUG